RNAcentral lists this ribosomal RNA (504 nucleotides) under uncultured archaeon. RNAcentral describes it as "bacterial SSU rRNA". It matches the Rfam family "Bacterial small subunit ribosomal RNA", at positions 38 to 521 of the family's 1533-position model. The record is from RNAcentral.
ACCGCGGCGGCUGGCUUAACACAUGCAAGUCGCACGAGAACGUUCUGGCUUUGCCAGAACAAGUACAGUGGCGGACGGGUGCGUAUCGCGUAGAUAACCUGCCCUCAGGCGCGGGACAAUCACGGGAAACCGUGGCUAAUACCGCACGUCGUCUAGGCCCCGCAUGGGGACCAGAUGAAAGCUUGGGGUUACCCAGGCGCCUUGGGAUGGGUCUGCGUUGGAUUAGCUUGUUGGUGAGGCAACGGCUCACCAAGGCAACGAUCCAUAGCUGGUCUGAGAGGACGAUCAGCCACACUGGGACUGAGACACGGCCCAGACUCCUACGGGAGGCAGCAGUGGGGAAUCUUGCACAAUGGGGUCACCCCUGAUGCAGCCAUGCCGCGUGGAGGAAGACACCCCUAUGGGGCGUAAACUCCUUUUCUGAAUGAAGAAACCCCUGUAGGUUCAGGGCGCGACGGUAGUUCAGGAAUAAGCACCGGCUAACUCCGUGCCAGCAGCCGCGGU